This 3456-nucleotide long non-coding RNA is filed under the name Panax ginseng (ginseng). Its description in RNAcentral is "long non-coding RNA (PGIN_LNC012577)". The record is from RNAcentral. Lineage: Eukaryota; Viridiplantae; Streptophyta; Magnoliopsida; Apiales; Araliaceae.
UUAAAAUGAAAAUAAAUUUAAAUUUGUAAUUUAAAUUUGAGAAUUUUAAAAUAAACUCUUGGUAGUCCGAUAAUAACGGCGUGGGAUCUGACCCAUAUGAUAAGCUCUUGGUAUCUGCCUCCUCAAAUGCGCCGAUUUGUGUCAGUGAUCAACCAACCAUUUACAGGUUCGUAUUCAAACUUCAGUUUCAAUUUUUCCAAUUCACUGUUAAAAUUCGCCCAAAAAUUACGUAUUUUGCUGAAGAACAAUUUAGUAUCUGAUAUAAGAAAUGGAUUAUACCAAUAUCACUAGGCUGGGCGUAAAUGUCAAUUCCGAAUUUUAUUUUACAAAUUUUAAUUCUAUUUGUUUCUAAGAUUGUUCAUAUUUGCAGUUUAUUUUAUAGCUAGAUUGAAUGAGAUUGCUAAAGAAUGUGAGAGAUGGCAUUGAUAUUAUUUAUUAUGAUAUGAAUAUGGAUAUUUAAUCCCCACAACAGGAUGUACUGUUUCUAAGUCCGUAUAAUACAAUUAAAUAUUUAAAUUGCUGGUAUUAUUAUAAAAAUAAAUAAAUAAAUAACAAACUAUUUAAAUGAAUGAAUGUUCAAUGACAUACAAUCUUUAUAUUCUAAUUAGAAACGUACCAACUUACCAUUGUAUUUUUUUUUCAUGAUAUUUAUGUGAAGUUACUCUCGUAAAUAAUCUAUCACUCCAAUUGUCCAUCCUUGGCAAAUUAAAGUAAUGUCGUCAUAAAAUUUCCCCACUUUCCUGUAUGUUUUCUACAAGUUUGAAGAGCUAUGUAUAGAUUAUGUUUUCUUAUGAACCAUUGAUAUGGAAUUUGAAUUUGUAAUGCUUUAGUAAUUCAACGAUCUUGAAGUAGUGAUUGGUUUAAUUACAGAUGGACAGGCUCAUAGCUAUGUGAAAGUACCCUUCUCGUUAUAUAUGUAUCUACUUGUCUGUUUUACUUUAAAUGUUGGGUCGUUCAGGAAGCCUUCAUGGCUUAAUAAAUUUUCUGGAAUUUGUUUCCAUUAUUUGAAGUAGAUAACUUAUAAUUGCUUUGGUAUGGUUUUACAAUUUUUUAUUUUCAGGAAUCUUAAAUUUUCACUUAUGAUAUAGUAAUUUACCAGUGUUAGUUACUAAAAAAAUUUAUACCUGAUUUUAAGUCUCUGAAGACUAUCGGAUAUUGAAGUUAGCUGGACAAAGUGCCCAAAUUUUCUGCUUCACUGGAAAUACUCGGGAGAUUUAUCAGCAUAGAAUACGAAGGGUUAGUUUUUGAAAGUUUCUUUUAGCCAAAGAUUUCAUGUUAUAACUUCGGUUUCCACUCUCUUAUUGUUGCUGAUCUGUUCAUGAUUCCAUCAGAAGAAAUAAAAAAUGCAAGCAACGCAUUUGCCUUUUAACAUUUAAACUCUUGGACAAAUAUUAGCUUGUAAUAUUACAUAUGUUGUAAGUAUAGUCACAAUUGAAGUUCUAAUGCAGUAGAAUUUUGUUGGUAUAACUUAUUCUCAUUCCGCUCUUAACAAAGAGAGAACCAGGUUUCAUCUGAAUGCUGAAGUUCCAUUACUUCUCUAAUGUAAAAACCAAAAAAUGAUCUAGCAGCUUCGAAUGAACAUGUUCCACUCCUUUUCCCUCGACUGGACCGUCUCAGCACCAGCUGAAACCAUUCAAGUCGAAUUGCUUGCAUCUUGAAGCAGUGUCGUUUUCAUCAUGGAUAUUCAGGUCUAGCUUUGGUGCAAAGCAGGACAGCUGAAAUCCUUCAAAGAUAUUUUCAUUCUCUGGUUUAAUCGAAUCUCUUCUUUUGGCGGUUUGGUCAAGAAAAUUGACAUCCGCAUUCCUCUUCUUAAAUACUUUUUCCGUAUAGCUGCUGUUGCCAUUCCAGUUUCCUCCCUGAACUCCAACACUCAUCGAUAAAUCACUAGCAUGUACUUCUACAUCAAAUGCUUUCUUUGAAUCGUUUACUAUUGGUGACAGGGACUUUCUAUUCUCUUUCAGGUCUUUGCACCAUCUGAAUUCAGUCUCUUGGUCCCUUUGGGAACCUCCAAUGGAGGUCAAACAGCUAUCUAAUGAACAAUUCGUCGGCUGGUUUGAUUGUGUUUGCUGUGGACAGAAGCCUGAAACAUCUUUCAUCCCGGAAAAUGCAGAAUUUAGGCAUUUGGUGGAUACUUUUGAGACCAACUCAGAUAGCUGGACCUUCGCAGCCUCUAGUCCAACUGUGCCCAAAUUUUGUCUUCCAAGCGUAUCUUGCGCUUUCUCCAGCACCGCUUGCAGGUAUUUCCCUUGAGCUUCUAUUCGUAGCUGUAAAUGUCGUUGUACCUAUCAGUUCAGAAUUAAAUGUGAUUUAAAAUGUUGUUCAAAAAUUGUUUGAGAACUUUGGGUGGAAUUAGAACUUGAAAGAAGUGAAUAAAUUUUAAUUGUUUGAAUUGUAUAUUGGCUGCAUAAAAUGCAUAUAUAAUUUUAUAUGCUAUGUAUGCUCAAUCUCAAAGUUACUAGAUGAAUAGUUGUAGCCAUCAAAUAUGUUUGAAAUUUUUCUUUUUCUUUUUACUCUGGAGAUUUCUUGUGAAAUAUUCUGAUGUUUAAAAAGAAAUACUAUUAUCUGAUAAUUGUGCAGCGUAUUGUACCUCAAGCUGCUCAUGUAGCCGUCUCUGCACUUCAAUUUGCAUCUGUAUUGCUUCACUUAUAUGUAAACUUCAAUAUAGAACAUCUUGUAGUUAGAGUACAAUCUUUGAAAUAUUAAAUUAUGAAAUAUAAAAUAAUUAAGAAAAAGUAUGAUAAUGCUCUUGCGCUCAUACUUAUUAUUUGUUUGAGGUCCAAUGCUUGAAUUACUCGUGUGAAUUGUUCCAGUUGAUUCAGGGAUCCUUUCUCCCGCCAUUGCAACCAUUCCUACAUUAGCAAAUCAUUGUUAUGUUCUACCCCCCAAAACUGAUGUAUAAUAUGAUGUGUCCAUUGAUAUAUUAAAAUCAUACCAGUUUUGUUUGUCCCAGUAUUUGCUUGUCCUGGUAGAUUUUUGCUGAGCCUGUACUUCUGCCAGCCAAAAAACAAGAGUUAAUGAAAAGAUAGGACAAUGCAUGUAUUUUCAUAAAACCGCAAACCUUUCCUUCCAUUUGACACAUCAAUUGGCAACCAUAGGAUAUACCCCGGAUGGCCUGAAGUUUAAUAUGAAGAAACUUUCUAAACUAAUCAUGGGUAAAAUAUAUACCUGAAGAUGACUUUUUAGGUGGUAUAAGGUAAGUCCUUGAAUCCCCAUUAGUUUCAAAACUGAUUUAGGAGUAGCCUCUGCAAAAUAGAAGAGUAGACACUUCAAUAGGUAAAUAAUAGUAAAAACUUUGCAUGGUGCUAUGAAACUUUAACUUAGUUUUUUGCACUCACUAUCAGCUCCUCCAAGCUGAUUGACGGCUUCUAUAAACCGCUCGUGAAGGUCUGGUGUCCAUUUCAAUCUAGGCUUUGCAUCAGUUGAAAGUACAAGUCCCGAAUCUCCUGUAGCAUUCCC